GAUGAACGCUGGCGGCGUGCCUAAUACAUGCCAGUCGAGCGAACAGAUGAGGAGCUUGCUCCUCUGACGUUAGCGGCGGACGGGUGAGUAACACGUGGAUAACCUACCUAUAAGACUGGGAUAACUUCGGGAAACCGGAGCUAAUACCGGAUAAUAUAUUGAACCGCAUGGUUCAAUAGUGAAAGACGGUUUUGCUGUCACUUAUAGAUGGAUCCGCGCCGCAUUAGCUAGUUGGUAAGGUAACGGCUUACCAAGGCGACGAUGCGUAGCCGACCUGAGAGGGUGAUCGGCCACACUGGAACUGAGACACGGUCCAGACGCCUACGGGAGGCAGCAGUAGGGAAUCUUCCGCAAUGGGCGAAAGCCUGACGGAGCAACGCCGCGUGAGUGAUGAAGGUCUUCGGAUCGUAAAACUCUGUUAUUAGGGAAGAACAAAUGUGUAAGUAACUAUGCACGUCUUGACGGUACCUAAUCAGAAAGCCACGGCUAACUACGUG
Molecule: ribosomal RNA, 497 nt
Filed under: uncultured bacterium
Lineage: Bacteria
Description: partial 16S ribosomal RNA
Rfam family: Bacterial small subunit ribosomal RNA
Source: RNAcentral